ACGGGGGAAAGCAGGGGAUCUUCGGACCUUGCGCUAUUAGAUGAGCCUAAGUCGGAUUAGCUUGUUGGUGGGGUAAUGGCCUACCAAGGCGACGAUCCGUAGCUGGUCUGAGAGGAUGAUCAGCCACAUCGGGACUGAGACACGGCCCGAACUCCUACGGGAGGCAGCAGUGGGGAAUAUUGGACAAUGGGCGCAAGCCUGAUCCAGCCAUGCCGCGUGUGUGAAGAAGGCUUUCGGGUUGUAAAGCACUUUCAGCGAGGAGGAAGGCCUUAAGACUAAUACUCUUGAGGAUUGACGUCACUCGCAGAAGAAGCACCGGCUAACUCCGUGCCAGCAGCCGCGGUAAUACGGAGGGUGCAAGCGUUAAUCGGAAUUACUGGGCGUAAAGCGCGCGUAGGUGGUUAUGUAAGCGAGAUGUGAAAGCCCCGGGCUCAACCUGGGAACGGCACUUCGAACUGCAUGGCUAGAGUGUGGUAGAGGGUAGUGGAAUUUCCUGUGUAGCGGUGAAAUGCGUAGAUAUAGGAAGGAACACCAGUGGCGAAGGCGGCUACCUGGACCAACACU
RNAcentral lists this ribosomal RNA (564 nucleotides) under Marinobacter maritimus. Its description in RNAcentral is "bacterial SSU rRNA". It matches the Rfam family "Bacterial small subunit ribosomal RNA", at positions 196 to 741 of the family's 1533-position model. The record is from RNAcentral. Lineage: Bacteria; Pseudomonadati; Pseudomonadota; Gammaproteobacteria; Pseudomonadales; Marinobacteraceae.